Molecule: ribosomal RNA, 440 nt
Filed under: uncultured bacterium
Lineage: Bacteria
Description: partial 16S ribosomal RNA
Rfam family: Bacterial small subunit ribosomal RNA
Source: RNAcentral
CCUACGGGUGGCAGCAGUGGGGAAUAUUGGACAAUGGGGGAAACCCUGAUCCAGCGACGCCGCGUGAGUGAAGAAGUAUUUCGGUAUGUAAAGCUCUAUCAGCAGGGAAGAAAAUGACGGUACCUGACUAAGAAGCCCCGGCUAACUACGUGCCAGCAGCCGCGGUAAUACGUAGGGGGCAAGCGUUAUCCGGAUUUACUGGGUGUAAAGGGAGCGUAGACGGCAGCUCAAGUCUGAAGUGAAAUGCCGGGGCCCAACCCCGGAACUGCUCUGGAAACUGGGAAGCUGGAGUGCAGGAGAGGUAAGCGGAAUUCCUGGUGUAGCGGUGAAAUGCGUAGAUAUUAGGAGGAACACCGGUGGCGAAGGCGGCUUACUGGACCGUAACUGACGUUGAGGCUCGAAAGCGUGGGGAGCAAACAGGAUUAGAUACCCCGGUAGUC